UACGUAGGGUGCGAGCGUUGUCCGGAAUUAUUGGGCGUAAAGGGCUCGUAGGCGGUUUGUCGCGUCGGGAGUGAAAACCCAGGGCUUAACUCUGGGCUUGCUUUCGAUACGGGCAGACUAGAGGUAUGCAGGGGAGAACGGAAUUCCUGGUGUAGCGGUGAAAUGCGCAGAUAACAGGAGGAACACCGGUGGCGAAGGCGGUUCUCUGGGCAUUACCUGACGCUGAGGAGCGAAAGUGUGGGGAGCGAACGGG
RNAcentral lists this ribosomal RNA (253 nucleotides) under uncultured bacterium. RNAcentral describes it as "partial 16S ribosomal RNA". It matches the Rfam family "Bacterial small subunit ribosomal RNA", at positions 524 to 776 of the family's 1533-position model. The record is from RNAcentral.